GUGAAUCUGACCUUCGAUGCUGGGAAGCCGGUGCUGUACAUACAGAUGGGGUUUCUGCAUUUCUCUCCCUAAAACAUAACAAUCAGAACAAUUGUGGCAAAGAAGGGAUACGGGGCCAGUAUGUUAUGUAAUGUUUGUGGUCCUGCUGUUCUGAAUCCAUUCAUAUAGGAAGAAACUAAGAAGUGACACUGGAUACAUUUUACCUAAUGAACAGUACAAAGUGUUUUCCUCCUUCCAAAUGUCAGGUCUGCCCCCACCCCAAAAUAA
Long non-coding RNA from Canis lupus familiaris (dog), 267 nucleotides. RefSeq lists it as uncharacterized. The transcript has 3 exons. The record is from RefSeq and is a predicted model, not a curated record. NCBI's taxonomy places the organism in Eukaryota, Metazoa, Chordata, Mammalia, Carnivora, Canidae.